CCCGCCAGACACUCCAGCCGAGCUUCAGCCGACAGGCCUACACCCCCUGGCAUGGCCACAGUAAUGACCACGACUCUACUCCACUUCCUGGGACAGAUUCUGCGCGGCUCCAUUACUCCCUGGCAAACUGCUAUGAUGCCCACGAUCCUGCUCCACUCCCUGCGACGGAUACCGCACGAUUCUUUCAUCUUCUGGCAAGUCACGACAACGGACGCCGCUCCACUCCCCACGAUAGACUCUACGUGGCAUGUCCCGACGAUAGCCACGAUUCCACUCCACUACUCUCUGC
This 289-nucleotide long non-coding RNA is filed under the name Elaeis guineensis (African oil palm). RNAcentral describes it as "long non-coding RNA (EGUI_LNC057102)". The record is from RNAcentral. Lineage: Eukaryota; Viridiplantae; Streptophyta; Magnoliopsida; Arecales; Arecaceae.